AGGACUAACGUUGGCGGCGUGCCUAAUACAUGCAAGUCGAGCGGGUCAGGGGGGCAACUCCUGAUUAGCGGCGGAACGGGUGAGUAACACGUGGAUGAUCUACCUCCGAGAUUGGGACAACCAGCCGAAAGGUUGGCUAAUACCGAAUAAGACCACGGCUAGCAUCGACUAGCUGACGGUAAAAGCGUGGGGAUCGCAAGACCUAGCACUUGGAUAUGAGUCCGCGCCUGAUUAGCUAGUUGGCGGGGUAAUGGCCCACCAAGGCGACGAUCAGUAGCCGGCCUGAGAGGGUGAACGGCCACACUGGAACUGAGACACGGUCCAGACUCCUACGGGAGGCAGCAGUAGGGAAUUUUCCACAAUGGGCGCAAGCCUGAUGGAGCAACGCCGCGUGAGGGAUGAAGGUCUUCGGAUUGUAAACCUCUUUGGAGUGGGAAGAAUGUCCUCGGUGCUAACAGUGCUGGAGGAGUGACGGUACCACUAGAACAAGACACGGCUAACUCG
Molecule: ribosomal RNA, 504 nt
Filed under: uncultured bacterium
Lineage: Bacteria
Description: SSU rRNA
Rfam family: Bacterial small subunit ribosomal RNA
Source: RNAcentral